CUUUAGUUCGCAAUUUGCGUUAAGGAUUGAAAUGGCAUCCUUUUUGUUUUUCACAAAAAGAUAUAAUGGAAAGCCUGUUAAAAC
RNAcentral lists this small RNA (84 nucleotides) under Polaribacter sp. SA4-12. Its description in RNAcentral is "Flavo-1 RNA". It matches the Rfam family "Flavo-1 RNA". The record is from Rfam by way of RNAcentral. Lineage: Bacteria; Pseudomonadati; Bacteroidota; Flavobacteriia; Flavobacteriales; Flavobacteriaceae.